GACAGAGGCCUCAAGCGUUAGGCGGAAUCACUGGGCUUAAAGCGCGUGUAGGCGGGAGGGCACGUCCGUCGCUGAAAUCCCCCGGCUCAACCGGGGAACGGGCGCGGAUACGACCUUCCUGGAGGGGCGUAGGGGGACCUGGAACUUCCGGUGGAGCGGUGAAAUGCGUUGAGAUCGGAAGGAACGCCCGUGGCGAAAGCGAGGUCCUGGACGCCUACUGACGCUGAGACGCGAAAGCCAGGGGAGCGAACGGG
RNAcentral lists this ribosomal RNA (254 nucleotides) under uncultured bacterium. RNAcentral describes it as "partial 16S ribosomal RNA". It matches the Rfam family "Bacterial small subunit ribosomal RNA", at positions 524 to 776 of the family's 1533-position model. The record is from RNAcentral.